AAAGGAAGAAGAUCAGUGAGGCUAGGCAAGGUCCCUAACAGCUCCCAGGGAAGGAGCCUAAUGCUGUUCGGCUGGUGUGUACUAAAUGCUGGGCCUGGACCUGAACAUAGAGCUGCACGGGGGCUGGAAAUGUCACUGUGCGAGUGCAUAGAUAUUCAUACGUGUGCAUAGAUAUUUCCCUUCUGUGUUUUUGUCUACAUGAUACUUUGCAAUACAUUGAGCAGUUCCUAUUCCUCCCCUUCACACAUCAGUAAUCAGACUGGGUCCAGUAUUACCCAUCAAAGGCACCCUGGCUGGCUAGCCUCCGUCUGUGCAGCCCUGCUGGUUGAGGCAGACCCCCCCUGAUCCAAAAGGACAGGAGUUGAGAAUAACCAGACUCACUGGGCUACAGGCUCUGAAACACGCCUGCCAACCUUGGCCUCAGCCUGACGGACAUGUUCGUUCAGGAAACCCUAGCCCUGCUCUGUCCUUGAAGGCUUUGCUCCUGGCUUUGCAAAGUGCUGAGCUGGUACCUUUCACUUCUCGCUUUACUGCCAUUGUCUCUGCUAUCCCCUCCUGGCACCCAUGCCCUGACCCCCUCCUCAGUCACUGUUGUUCCAGGAGCCAGCAAGCAAGAGCCUGUGCCUUAUUGAAGGGCAAAGACCUGGAAGAGACAGAUUGAAGCUGAGGAUCAGUGACGCAUCCCACCCCUCCUCUUCUGUCAGAUUCCUCUCUACUCAGCCUGGGUCUACUUGACAUGCUGCCAUGAUACAUCCACGCAGAGCACCGGCACACGGGUCCAUACACCUCCAGCCAGCAGGAGUCCUCUUGGCAUAUCCCAGGAGCACAAGAAGAGAGCACUCAUGAGAUCUGAGUCCACAGAAGGAACGUGUCAGGCCAGCACGUCCGCUCUCCUUCUUGCCAGGACUCCGCCCCUAGGCGUUCAAUUCCGAGCAACGGGAACCAUGACUCAGCGAAAACAGACCUCGGGACCGUGACUCAGCAUCACGCAGCCCCGGACCUUGACUCAGCAGAAAAGGCUCGACUUCGGCUUCCUGGUGGAUUGCUUUUUACCAGAGCAACUGUUCUUUUUUAACAAUUGUUAAUUAAACCCUGGCCUCACACGUGCUAGGCACAUACGCCGCCAUCCAGCCGCACUGACAGCCCCAGACUUUAUUAAUUAGGCUUCCUGGCCGGAAAUAAAAGCAACGACAACAAAUGGAGCUUUGCAAGAAGCGGGACUUUAACCCCAGCACUCAGAAGGAAGAGGGACCUAGGUUCGAGUCCCAGCACACUCAUGUCAGUUUAACAACACUCUGUAACUCCAGUUCUUGGAGAUCUAAUAUCCUCUUUUAGCCUCCUUGGAAAUCAGGACUAUGUGGUGUACACAGACAUACAUGUAAGUAAAACCCCGAACACCUAAGAUAAACAAUUAAAAGAAAAGACUUCCUUAGGGUCUUUCUCUGGAUUUGGGGAAGAUCUAAUGUUUGUAUCCACUAUGAUAACACUAAGUCUGCUUUGGGGCACAAUGAGGAAGGGAGGGCUCAGAGUUUUUGUGGGGCUUAUUAGUCCUUCAAUUCAAAACA
Molecule: small RNA, 1565 nt
Filed under: Rattus norvegicus (Norway rat)
Lineage: Eukaryota; Metazoa; Chordata; Mammalia; Rodentia; Muridae
Description: uncharacterized LOC103694288
Source: RNAcentral